Molecule: long non-coding RNA, 2204 nt
Organism: Marmota monax (woodchuck)
Lineage: Eukaryota; Metazoa; Chordata; Mammalia; Rodentia; Sciuridae
Exons: 3
Source: RefSeq, a predicted model, not a curated record
UGUGGAAACUCUGCAAACUUCCGGGGCUGGGUCUCUGUGGAGCUCCUCACCCUGGGAGACAGGGGCCCCUCCACCAGCUGCUGUGGGAAUGCCACAUCUGGUAUUCCUGCAGCCACUUCCUCUCCAGGGAGAAGGUUGGUCUCCACCCUGUGCGGUUGCAUAAAAUGAUGCUGGGCUCCUGGGAGCAAGCGGCUGGGAGCUGCUAACAUCCUCCAGGCUCCUGCAGGGCUGGAGGCUCUGCUCAGCUGAUUAAACAUUCCUCAUCUAGGAAGACAUUUAAAGGGACCAUCAUGUGGCAUGGCCAGGCUUUCCGUAGCUGAACAUUGUAUUUCCUAAGGCGGAAAGCACAGUUUUUGUUUUUGUUUUAAAUGCAGCUAAGUAGGCUGGAAAUUGGCCUUCAAAGCUGGGAGCCUCAACCUGCCUUGUGGAAGAAGCCCACCCUGUCCACUCUAGGUAUAAGGGUCCCCUUGAGUGAGCCAGGAUUCUUUUAAGUUGCAAGUGACUGAGAAGACACUCUGUAGAUAAUGGAAACCACAUCCUUGGUCUCACAAGUCAUCAAGAAGUUCUAAUGGGUUACGUGCUUCUUUAAGCAACAAGGGUGACCUUUGAACCUAAGGUCUUUUUGACUUGUUGCUCCAUCAUCUUCAACAUUUGGCUUCCAAAGUUACAGAGGGCAUGAGAACCCACCUCGGAACAGGAAGAGUCUGGAGAAAGACAGCUGGAAGUUCACUUGGGCCUGCUCUGGAAAUGACCAUCUCCUAACAUUCUGUUCACAUUGCUUUGGCUGCAACUCUGUCUUGGGGCCACAUCUUACUUCAAGGGAGCCUAAGACAUGCAGUUGGCUGUGUGUCCAGGAAGAAGAAAAGGGAUUGUUGUCUCAGCAGACAGCCUAGCUCGGGCACUUUCCCCAGCUUUGGUUUCUGUGGUUUCUUUUCCUUUCAUUGGUUCUUCAGGAAUGCCUUGCCCAUCCUCCUAUGUAAUCUCAGCAGAGCGUAGACUCUCCUUGGAGAGACUUUGUCCCACAUUUUUUUUUUUUUGUACCAGGGAUUAAACCCAGGGUUGCUUAACCACUGAGCCACAUCCCCAGUCCUUUUCAUUUUUAUUAUUUUGAGACAGGGUCUUGCUAAGUUGCUCAGGGCCUUGCUAAAUUGGCUGGCUUUGAACUUGUAAUCCUCCUGCAUCAGCCUCCUGAGUUGCUGGGAUUACAGGUGUGUACCACUAUGCCCAACUGCUACCUCUUUGUGUCUCCUGCUCCAGGUUCAUUUUCUGUGGCAAAGCUUUCUCUGUCCUUUGAAACCUGCUUUGAUGGGAUCCUGAUUUCUUCUUUUCAAGCUUCUCUCGUUACAUAGAUCUUGUAUCUCCAGCAGAACAACCAACCUCCCUCUCCUCACUUCAGCCUGUCAGUGCUCAACUCUCCUCCUUCCUCUUUCCCCUGUCACCUGCCUCUAAGCAAGAAGCUCUGGGUCUGACCUUAACACUCUGUGUAUUUUAUGCUUCAUUCAUACCCAAUUGAGUUGCUUCUUUCCCCCCAUCUCCCAGUGCCUUUCUCAAACUCUGGUUAUCUCCUCAUUCAGACUUUGGGUUCCCCAGGGUUCUAAACAGACUCUUAAUUCUACAGACAGAAUAUAAGCUUCUGCUAAUCAACCCCCAAACCCCAUACAGAUGACUCCCUCCAGCUCUCCAUCUUCACCCACCAUGUAGGGAAUGGUUUGCAUAAACCUUUUUGAAUUGACAGAGCAAUUUUGGACAUUAUCAUAUUAAUCCCCUAAAUGAUCAGAAAGAGGCAUCAUUAAUGCCGUUUUGCCCAUCAGAAAAUAGAUCCAGGGAGCUAAGUGACUUUCCCAAGGCCUCAGAGUAUAUAUAGAAUAAAGAGUUCAGCUCAGAGUCUAUCACUCUAUUGAGUUUGUUAGAACUCUCAAUGUUUUCUCCCCAACCACAUGUUGCAAGUGUUUUUUUUUUUUCUUGCUGUGUCCUUUUCCCCAUUGCUCAAGUCUCUUACCUCUUCUGCUGUCUCUGAUCAAAAACAUAGAACUCCUUCAUGCCCUGCCUUUAUAUAUAAAACUCAAGACUGCAGAUCGGAAUGGAAUGCCCCAGAAGGAGCCUGUAUAGUACUGCUGGAAGUCUGAAAUGAUGGAAGAAGUUAUGGGCUGGGGAAAUUUUUUAAAUUUCUUACUCUACGACAGAAAAGGUGAUAUAUGUGCAUU